Pelobates cultripes (western spadefoot toad) is the source of this 463-nucleotide non-coding RNA. Lineage: Eukaryota; Metazoa; Chordata; Amphibia; Anura; Pelobatidae. The record is from the annotation of a GenBank genome assembly.
AUUGGCAGAAUCAAGUGGAACCCUGGUACAUCCAUCUACUGUUCCGAGAAGUCUGGUCAGAAGUGGAUUUAUACCUCUGACAUUGACACAAGGCCAAGUGACUCAACUAUUCAUGAAAACAUACCAACUAGGGAUGGAAAAUGUCAGCAGGUGCCCUGGACUGAUGAGUCUAAAUUUGAAAUAUUUAGCUGUAGCAGAAGGCAGUUUGUUUGCUGAAGGGCUGGAGAGUUGUAGAUGGGUGAGUGUCUGCAGGCAAAAGUGAAGUUUGGUGGAGUCUCCUUGCAAGUUUGGGGUAGUACUUCUGCAAAUGGAGUUAGGAUUUAGUCAGAAUUAAUGGUCUACUUAAUGCUGAGAACUUCAGGCAGAAACCAUUAUGGAGGCAUCUGACUAGCCCCAACUUUUUUUCUGUAUUAUGACUAUGACCUCAAGCAUUCGUCCAACAUCAUUAUAUCUUUACUGAAAU